UUUUAGUUGGGUUAAUUGUAGUCGCACCCUACGCGGGUGCGUGGAUUGAAAGUCCGGGCACGCCGGACGUUGAAAC
This 76-nucleotide transfer RNA is filed under the name Paenibacillus macerans. RNAcentral's name for it is "tRNA-Arg(acg)". The record is from RNAcentral. Lineage: Bacteria; Bacillati; Bacillota; Bacilli; Caryophanales; Paenibacillaceae.